Molecule: long non-coding RNA, 2173 nt
Organism: Equus caballus (horse)
Lineage: Eukaryota; Metazoa; Chordata; Mammalia; Perissodactyla; Equidae
Source: Ensembl
GUUUUUUUUCUUACACUUGAAAUUCAUAACUCCUAAUGGGCAAUCCAGCUGAAUUAUAUUUCCAUAUGGUUAAAGAAAAAAUGACCAGUCAUUGAGAAAGAUAAAGACAUUUUCCAGUCAACCAUUAACAUCAGAACACAUACACCUUGUUUUAUUUGGCAAUUGGCCUCUGCUUUUUCAACUCCAACGCAAUGCUAACUUAAUAAUACAGAAGACAGUUCACUGACAGGGAGACCAUUCUGCCCCACCAGAACAGCGACACAAUUUAAAAUCGUUUCAAUUCUCAGUCAAGAAAGCCAGAAAUCCCUUUGGUCGUUGGAGGAAAUGGUUUCUGGAUCCUCCCUGGUAAAAUACAGGAAUUCACCCUCCCAUCAUGCAGCAGGUACGUCAGAGUUCAGCUUCUGUGGCAGUUUCCUCUGAGAACAUUUGCAAAGAGAGAUGCUCCCUGCGUACUCUCACAGUCUGGAGCAGAAAAGGGAUUGUGAUAAACUCCAGAAGAUGGGAUUCUUCAUAGUUGUCCUCAGUGUCUUUCCUCCUCUAAUUUGACAAAAUCAGGACUCACAUUUCAGGCUUCUUGCCUCCCCAAGCUGCAGCCACACCAGUAACUUUGUGCAAGCGCAGGUCUCAGUCACAGCCUUGAGCACGUGCAUGGUCUUGAAUGUGAUCACAGAUACAGACAGUUAACGAAUCAACACUCCUGCAUCAAUGGAUUCCUCUCUGGCUGGUAAAUAAAUCACAUUUGCUUUAUUUAAUUCUGUCUUCAAAAUUGUGCUCAAGACUUCCUUCCACCAUGAAGCUUGAAUUCAUCACUCACAUCCAAUUAUCCAAUAAAUUCAGCUCUUCACCAUUCCCAUUGUUCCCCAUUAUAACCUUUUUAGCCCUGAGAGUAUCCAUAGACCCCUUUAAAAAUGUGUGUGUGCACAUAUGUGUGCAUGCGUGCAUGCACAUGUGUGUGAGUGUGCAUAUGAGUGCAUGUGUGUGUGUGUGUGUGUUUCUGCUACCUCUAUUUGAAAACACAGGUAGCCACUGCACGGCCAUAUUAAUAUAUGUUGAUGGAUAAGUUUUAAAGCACAGAUAAUGCUCAUGUUUGCACAGGUGCAUACACUCACCAUCGCUGGAAGCUACCUAAGAACAAUUGUGAAGAUCUGAAAGCUGACAGACAGGUCAAUGAUUUUCACAGUCCAAGUUGAAGCAGAACAGCCAGGAGAGAGGAAGGGCUCUGGGUCACAGCUACCGGGAAAAUCCAGAAGCUUUUGGCAGCUGCCUUGCACCCUCCCAUCUUCAAGCUCUGGGCAGCGGUCGUUCCCUGGUGUCUGGAUCUGGGCACUGGCAUCAGAGUGAGAGGAAGCUUGAUACAGGCUCUUUGUCUCUAGUUUAACAAAGCACAGAGAUAGGACAUAAACUCAUGUCCACACGCUCCAGGAAAGCAUGCGUGUCCACGGCCGUUCUCAGAGAAAAUGAGAGAGCCCAGAGUCCUCAAGAAAACCUCUAAACAGUGAGUAAAGAUAAAAAUCCCUGUUAUGCUCCUGUUCGUUUUUAUUCCAUUUCUGCAGGAUAGACAAGAAGCAAAGUGAGAAAUUAAUGCUGAGGCUCUUUCCCCAGCAUCAGUCAUCCGGCUCUCAGCAAUUGGAAUGUCCAGCGAUGCCGCAUGACACGUGGUUCCUGUCCUCAGGCAGUAGCAGGACAUGCAAAGUAGAAGUGCAUAGCAUGGAGCAGGGGGUGGAGGAAGAAAGCCUGGAUUCCGGCCGGAUCCUCCAGGGAACGGGCAGUGAAGCCAUCACAGGCGGUGGCUUUGGAACUGAACGCUGAGGGUGUAACUGUCUGACUCACGGAGGAUGGAGAAAGGGCUCUGGGGACAGUCUGAGGAGAAGCGUAACCGCCUUUGUCUCCUCCACUAAACGCGGUUAUCCUCAAAGAUUCACUCUCACACGGCUGAUAAGACCAGGCAGUAAUCAUCAGUGAGCCGUGCAAUGCAAUAGAAAGAAAAAAAGUGCAACACCAAAUCUUACUCCCAGUCUGUCUUCCAACUCGUCCUCUGACCUUGCCUUGACCUUCCACCAUCUGCACUGCUGUUUGGUCCUCCCAAGAUCACAGCUCCCUCUGGCCCCUCCCAGGACCUCCAGCCUGGCUUUUCUUUGGUUCUUCAGCUCCAGGUAUGCCUCUUACUUCUAAG